RNAcentral lists this ribosomal RNA (111 nucleotides) under Escherichia coli. Its description in RNAcentral is "partial 23S ribosomal RNA". The stretch from base 1 to 94 matches the Rfam family "Bacterial large subunit ribosomal RNA", at positions 2832 to 2925 of the family's 2925-position model. The record is from RNAcentral. Lineage: Bacteria; Pseudomonadati; Pseudomonadota; Gammaproteobacteria; Enterobacterales; Enterobacteriaceae.
GGAACGUUGAAGACGACGACGUUGAUAGGCCGGAUGUGUAAGCGCAGCGAUGCGUUGAGCUAACCGGUACUAAUGAACCGUGAGGCUUAACCUUACAACGCCGAAGCUGUU